RNAcentral lists this small nuclear RNA (160 nucleotides) under Zostera marina. Its description in RNAcentral is "U1 spliceosomal RNA". It matches the Rfam family "U1 spliceosomal RNA". Rfam says of the family: U1 is a small nuclear RNA (snRNA) component of the spliceosome (involved in pre-mRNA splicing). Its 5' end forms complementary base pairs with the 5' splice junction, thus defining the 5' donor site of an intron. The record is from Rfam by way of RNAcentral. Lineage: Eukaryota; Viridiplantae; Streptophyta; Magnoliopsida; Alismatales; Zosteraceae.
AUAUUUACCUGGAUGGAGUCUAUGAUUGAUCAAAAAGGGUCAUGGCUUAGUUUAAUAAUUUCCAUUGCACUUUGGAGAGAUAUCAAGCUAACGUCUCCCCAAGUGGGAGAGUGUACGUCAUUAUUUAUUACUUUGGGGGUACGCGUUCGCGCGGCCCUUA